GAUGAACGCUGGCGGCGUGCCUAAUACAUGCAAGUCGAACGAAACUUCUUUAUCACCGAGUGCUUGCACUCACCGAUACAGAGUUGAGUGGCGAACGGGUGAGUAACACGUGGGCAACCUGCCCAAAAGAGGGGGAUAACACUUGGAAACAGGUGCUAAUACCGCAUAACCAUAGUUACCGCAUGGUAACUAUGUAAAAGGUGGCUAUACUACCGCUUUUGGAUGGGCCCGCGGCGCAUUAGCUAGUUGGUAGGGUAAAGGCUUACCAAGGCAAUGAUGCGUAGCCGAAUUGAGAGGUUGAUCGGCCACAUUGGGACUGAGACACGGCCCAAACUCCUACGGGAGGCAGCAGUAGGGAAUCUUCCACAAUGGGCGAAAGCCUGAUGGAGCAACGCCGCGUGGGUGAAGAAGGUCUUCGGAUCGUAAAACCCUGUUGUUAGAGAAGAAAGUGCGUGAGAGUAACUGUUCACGUUUCGACGGUAUCUAACCAGAAAGCCACUGCUAACUACGUG
Molecule: ribosomal RNA, 512 nt
Filed under: uncultured bacterium
Lineage: Bacteria
Description: partial 16S ribosomal RNA
Rfam family: Bacterial small subunit ribosomal RNA
Source: RNAcentral